UAUAAGGCUUCACUAGAAGCCAUUCUUUAAAAGUAAUUAUUUUUUU
Molecule: non-coding RNA, 46 nt
Organism: Plasmodium falciparum IGH-CR14
Lineage: Eukaryota; Apicomplexa; Aconoidasida; Haemosporida; Plasmodiidae
Source: Rfam